GAUGAACGCUGACAGAAUGCUUAACACAUGCAAGUCUUUGGCGAAGCUGUGCUUGCACAGCCUAGCCAAGGCGGACGGGUGAGUAACGCGUAAGGAACUUGCCCUGCAGUCAGGGAUAACAGACGGAAACGACUGAUAAGACCUGGUAAAGUCAGGCGGACUCAUGUCCAGCCUGAUGAAAAGAGAUGCUGCAGGAGAGCCUUGCGUCCUAUUAGCUUGUUGGUGGGGUAACGGCCCACCAAGGCGAUGAUAGGUAGCCGGCCUGAGAGGGUGGACGGCCACAAGGGGACUGAGUUACGGCCCUUACUCCUACGGGAGGCAGCAGUGGGGAAUAUUGGACAAUGGGGGCAACCCUGAUCCAGCAAUUCUGUGUGCACGAUGAAGGUUUUCGGAUUGUAAAGUGCUUUCAGCAGGGAAGAAAAAAAUGACGGUACCUGCAGAAGAAGCGACGGCUAAAUACGUG
This 463-nucleotide ribosomal RNA is filed under the name uncultured bacterium. RNAcentral's name for it is "partial 16S ribosomal RNA". It matches the Rfam family "Bacterial small subunit ribosomal RNA", at positions 28 to 507 of the family's 1533-position model. The record is from RNAcentral.